Molecule: transfer RNA, 73 nt
Filed under: Sus scrofa (pig)
Lineage: Eukaryota; Metazoa; Chordata; Mammalia; Artiodactyla; Suidae
Rfam family: tRNA
About the family: Transfer RNA (tRNA) molecules are approximately 80 nucleotides in length. Their secondary structure includes four short double-helical elements and three loops (D, anti-codon, and T loops).
Source: Rfam by way of RNAcentral
UCCCUGGUGGCCUAAUGGUUAAGGAUUCAGCGUUAUCAUUGUUGUGGCUCAGGUUUGAUCCCUGGCCCGGGAA